AGUGCGGAGAAGAGGCAAUAACCAUUCUAAACACAAAGUAAUAUUUCCAAGAUGAAGGCCUUUCUUAUCAUAUGCAUUCUGUUGGCUACCGUUGCCUUCUCUCCCUUUUCCACUAGCACUGCCCUAGAAUUAUCCCAUAAAGAUCCAUACAGCACACUUGACGCUUCCCUGCAACAACAUGGCCCGAUGAAGCCUCCACGUGGCCCAAUGAAGCCGCCACGUGGUCCGAUGAAGCCGCCACGUGGCCCGGUCAAGCCACCACCUGGAAAGAAGCCACCUCCGGGGUCACAUUAAUGCUUACAAGUGGAACUGUGAAAUCCCUUGAGAAUGGAACACUGCGGAUUAGAAGCCAGUAAAGUGUCGACCGACAGCUAGUAGUAUCUUUAUUAACGUGGUAAUCUGACAUGAGAACACUUUGUGUAAGAAAAAUAAACUAUGGAGUUCUCAUAACAUGUCAGCAACCAUAUAUAUAUAAUGGUAUUAUGAGGUUUUAAUUUCUGUCGGGUUUUAAAUUGUAGUAACGUAAUGAAGUUAAUGCAUAAUAAAUAAAGUGCUUAACUAGCUAUCUUCUCUGGUGUUCA
Molecule: long non-coding RNA, 581 nt
Organism: Populus euphratica (Euphrates poplar)
Lineage: Eukaryota; Viridiplantae; Streptophyta; Magnoliopsida; Malpighiales; Salicaceae
Exons: 2
Source: RefSeq, a predicted model, not a curated record